UCUGAUUAUAUAUAUGGUAUGUUGACACCAAAUUCACAUCUUCAUACAUGUAUUUUGUAUAAUGAUGAGGGUCUUCUUUCACCAUCCAUGCUAUUCCCCUUCUCCCUCCCAUUCCCUCCCACCCCAAUUCCCUAUCUAGAGGUAAUCUUCCUCCCUUGCUCUCCCUCCCAACCCCAUUUUGAGUCACCCUCCCCCCUUAUAUCAGAGAAGACAUUCGGCAUUUGUUUUUUGGGGAUUGGCUAGCUUCACAUAGCAUAAUCUUCUCUAAUGCCAUCCAUUUUCUUCCCUUUUCAUGUUGCUCAUGUGUCUUCCUUUCUAACUCUGUGAGUCUUGGAGUUAUUGUUUUUACCCUAUAGGUUUGUAAUGCUCUUGUAGGAUUCCAGGAUCCCUCCUUUGUGGGGAAGGACUAUGUUAACAGAUCCCAAUAUCAACAAUAUAUCACCUAUGAACAAUUUAUUGUAAUUAAGACAUUAACAGUUUAAUCUCAAUGUACAGAAAUGUUGGGUUCAAUUAUGUUUUAAAAUAUAAUCAGUAGUUUUGUAAAAAGAUAUACAGUUUCUGACAGUGGUCAAUAUACUAGGGGUGGGGCAUAGUACAAUAUGCUGAGGGGAAAUAUUGUGAAGGUAUAGAGUUAAUAUAUCUUAGGAAAUGUGAAAGGGAAAUCUAAUGAAGAGGGUUAGUAGCAGGAGAAUAGAC
Molecule: long non-coding RNA, 696 nt
Filed under: Marmota monax (woodchuck)
Lineage: Eukaryota; Metazoa; Chordata; Mammalia; Rodentia; Sciuridae
Source: RNAcentral